Molecule: ribosomal RNA, 1420 nt
Filed under: Limosilactobacillus fermentum
Lineage: Bacteria; Bacillati; Bacillota; Bacilli; Lactobacillales; Lactobacillaceae
Description: bacterial SSU rRNA
Rfam family: Bacterial small subunit ribosomal RNA
Source: RNAcentral
UGCAGUCGACGCGUUGGCCCAAUUGAUUGACGGUGCUUGCACCUGAUUGAUUUUGGUCGCCAACGAGUGGCGGACGGGUGAGUAACACGUAGGUAACCUGCCCAGAAGCGGGGGACAACAUUUGGAAACAGAUGCUAAUACCGCAUAACAGCGUUGUUCGCAUGAACAACGCUUAAAAGAUGGCUUCUCGCUAUCACUUCUGGAUGGACCUGCGGUGCAUUAGCUUGUUGGUGGGGUAACGGCCUACCAAGGCGAUGAUGCAUAGCCGAGUUGAGAGACUGAUCGGCCACAAUGGGACUGAGACACGGCCCAUACUCCUACGGGAGGCAGCAGUAGGGAAUCUUCCACAAUGGGCGCAAGCCUGAUGGAGCAACACCGCGUCAGUGAAGAAGGGUUUCGGCUCGUAAAGCUCUGUUGUUAAAGAAGAACACGUAUGAGAGUAACUGUGCAUACGUUGACGGUAUUUAACCAGAAAGUCACGGCUAACUACGUGCCAGCAGCCGCGGUAAUACGUAGGUGGCAAGCGUUAUCCGGAUUUAUUGGGCGUAAAGAGAGUGCAGGCGGUUUUCUAAGUCUGAUGUGAAAGCCUUCGGCUUAACCGGAGAAGUGCAUCGGAAACUGGAUAACUUGAGUGCAGAAGAGGGUAGUGGAACUCCAUGUGUAGCGGUGGAAUGCGUAGAUAUAUGGAAGAACACCAGUGGCGAAGGCGGCUACCUGGUCUGCAACUGACGCUGAGACUCGAAAGCAUGGGUAGCGAACAGGAUUAGAUACCCUGGUAGUCCAUGCCGUAAACGAUGAGUGCUAGGUGUUGGAGGGUUUCCGCCCUUCAGUGCCGGAGCUAACGCAUUAAGCACUCCGCCUGGGGAGUACGACCGCAAGGUUGAAACUCAAAGGAAUUGACGGGGGCCCGCAAGCGGUGGAGCAUGUGGUUUAAUUCGAAGCUACGCGAAGAACCUUACCAGGUCUUGACAUCUUGCGCCAACCCUAGAGAUCGGGCGUUUCUUUCGGGAACGAAUGACAGGUGGUGCAUGGUCGUCGUCAGCUCGUAUCGUAAGAUGUUGGGUUAAGUCCCGCAACGAGCGCAACCCUUGUUACUAGUUGCCAGCAUUAAGUUGGGCACUCUAGUGAGACUGCCGGUGACAAACCGGAGGAAGGUGGGGACGACGACAGAUCAUCAUGCCCUUAUGACCUGGGCUACACACGUGCUACAAUGGACGGUACAACGAGUCGCGAACUCGCGAGGGCAAGCAAAUCUCUUAAAAUCGUUCUCAGUUCGGACUGCAGGCUGCAACUCGCCUGCACGAAGUCGGAAUCGCUAGUAAUCGCGGAUCAGCAUGCCGCGGUGAAUACGUUCCCGGGCCUUGUACACACCGCCCGUCACACCAUGAGAGUUUGUAACACCCAAGUCGGUGGGGUAACC